GAUGAACGCUGGCGGCGUGCCUAAUACAUGCAAGUCGAGCGAACAGACGAGGAGCUUGCUCCUCUGACGUUAGCGGCGGACGGGUGAGUAACACGUGGAUAACCUACCUAUAAGACUGGGAUAACUUCGGGAAACCGGAGCUAAUACCGUAUAAUAUAUUGAACCGCAUGGUUCAAUAGUGAAAGACGGUUUUGCUGUCACUUAUAGAUGGAUCCGCGCCGCAUUAGCUAGUUGGUAGGGUAACGGCUUACCAAGGCAACGAUGCGUAGCCGACCUGAGAGGGUGAUCGGCCACCCUGGAACUGAGACACGGUCCAGACUCCUACGGGAGGCAGCAGUAGGGAACCUUCCGCAAUGGGCGAAAGCCUGACGGAGCAACGCCGCGUGAGUGAUGAAGGUCUUCGGAUCGUAAAACUCUGUUAUUAGGGAAGAACAAAUGUGUAAGUAAAUAUGCACGUCUUGACGGUACCUAAUCAGAAAGCCACGGCUAACUACGUG
This 497-nucleotide ribosomal RNA is filed under the name uncultured bacterium. Its description in RNAcentral is "partial 16S ribosomal RNA". It matches the Rfam family "Bacterial small subunit ribosomal RNA", at positions 28 to 507 of the family's 1533-position model. The record is from RNAcentral.